Molecule: ribosomal RNA, 497 nt
Filed under: uncultured bacterium
Lineage: Bacteria
Description: partial 16S ribosomal RNA
Rfam family: Bacterial small subunit ribosomal RNA
Source: RNAcentral
GACGAACGCUGGCGGCGUGCCUAAUACAUGCAAGUUGAGCGCUGAAGGUUGGUACUUGUCCCGACUGGAUGAGCAGCGAACGGGUGAGUAACGCGUGGGGAAUCUGCCUUUGAGCGGGGGACAACAUUUGGAAACGAAUGCUAAUACCGCAUAAAAACUUUAAACACAAGUUUUAAGUUUGAAAGAUGCAAUUGCAUCACUCAAAGAUGAUCCCGCGUUGUAUUAGCUAGUUGGUGAGGUAAAGGCUCACCAAGGCGAUGAUACAUAGCCGACCUGAGAGGGUGAUCGGCCACAUUGGGACUGAGACACGGCCCAAACUCCUACGGGAGGCAGCAGUAGGGAAGCUUCGGCAAUGGACGAAAGUCUGACCGAGCAACGCCGCGUGAGUGAAGAAGGUUUUCGGAUCGUAAAACUCUGUUGGUAGAGAAGAACGUUGGUGAGAGUGGAAAGCUCAUCAAGUGACGGUAACUACCCAGAAAGGGACGGCUAACUACGUG